Molecule: ribosomal RNA, 301 nt
Filed under: uncultured bacterium
Lineage: Bacteria
Description: partial 16S ribosomal RNA
Rfam family: Archaeal small subunit ribosomal RNA
Source: RNAcentral
CAGUCGCCACGGGAAUACCAGCACCUCGAGUGGUCAGGAGGUUUAUUGGGCCUAAAGCAUCCGUAGCCGGUUGCAUAAGUUUUCGGUUAAAUCUAUGCGCUUAACGUAUAGGCCGCCGAAAAUACUGUGCAGCUAGGGAGUGGGAGAGGUACACGGUACUCGAUAGGAAGGGGUAAAAUCCUUUGAUCUAUUGAUGACCACCUGUGGCGAAGGCGGUGUACCAGAACACGUUCGACGGUGAGGGAUGAAAGCUGGGGGAGCAAACCGGAUUAGAUACCCGCGUAGUCCCUGUCUCUUAUAA